GCGCGCGUCGCCGCGCCAAGGGUCGCACGAUGGCGGCACCGCAGGGUGGGGCACGUGCGGGUCAUGGGGGACCAGGCUGGCAGACAGAGCAGCGAGA
Molecule: non-coding RNA, 97 nt
Filed under: uncultured Cafeteria
Lineage: Eukaryota; Bigyra; Bicosoecida; Cafeteriaceae
Source: RNAcentral